AUGAACGCUGGCGGCGUGCCUAAUACAUGCAAGUCGAGCGAACAGACGAGGAGCUUGCUCCUCUGACGUUAGCGGCGGACGGGUGAGUAACACGUGGAUAACCUACCUAUAAGACUGGGAUAACUUCGGGAAACCGGAGCUAAUACCGGAUAAUAUAUUGAACCGCAUGGUUCAAUAGUGAAAGACGGUUUUGCUGUCACUUAUAGAUGGAUCCGCGCCGCAUUAGCUAGUUGGUAAGGUAACGGCUUACCAAGGCAACGAUGCGUAGCCGACCUGAGAGGGUGAUCGGCCACACUGGAACUGAGACACGGUCCAGACUCCUACGGGAGGCAGCAGUAGGGAAUCUUCCGCAAUGGGCGAAAGCCUGACGGAGCAACGCCGCGUGAAUGAUGAAGGUCUUCGGAUCGUAAAACUCUGUUAUUAGGGAAGAACAAAUGUGUAAGUAACUAUGCACGUCUUGACGGUACCUAAUCAGAAAGCCACGGUUAACUACGUG
This 496-nucleotide ribosomal RNA is filed under the name uncultured bacterium. Its description in RNAcentral is "partial 16S ribosomal RNA". It matches the Rfam family "Bacterial small subunit ribosomal RNA", at positions 29 to 507 of the family's 1533-position model. The record is from RNAcentral.